GGAGAGAUGUCCGAGUGGUUGAAGGAGCACGAUUGGAAAUCGUGUAGGCGCUCAUACCGCCUCGUGGGUUCGAAUCCCACUCUCUCCGCCA
Molecule: transfer RNA, 91 nt
Filed under: bacterium
Lineage: Bacteria
Also listed under: 1 other name
Description: tRNA-Ser
Rfam family: tRNA
About the family: Transfer RNA (tRNA) molecules are approximately 80 nucleotides in length. Their secondary structure includes four short double-helical elements and three loops (D, anti-codon, and T loops).
Source: RNAcentral